GCGGGCUUAACUCAAUUGGUAGAGUACCACCCUUCCAAGGUGGCUGUUGACGGUUCGAGUCCGUUAGCCCGCUCCA
Molecule: transfer RNA, 76 nt
Filed under: Fibrobacterota bacterium
Lineage: Bacteria; Pseudomonadati; Fibrobacterota
Also listed under: 3 other names
Description: Fibrobacteres bacterium tRNA-Gly
Rfam family: tRNA
About the family: Transfer RNA (tRNA) molecules are approximately 80 nucleotides in length. Their secondary structure includes four short double-helical elements and three loops (D, anti-codon, and T loops).
Source: RNAcentral